CAAGAGCGUAUAUUAACGCUGCUGCUGUUAAAGGGUUCGUAGUUGGAUUUGAGGUCGGAGAAUGGAGGUGGUCCUAGACCAUAUGCCUUUACUUACUCUGGCUUCUUUCUAGGCGGAACUGUAGCCAAGGACGACGCGCUUCGUCGCUGAGUCUGACUUCGCGUAAACCUUACGCACGGCCGUCCGCCAUCAUUACUGUGAGCAAAACAGCGUGUCCAAGGCAGGCUUUGCCCGAAUGAUAAAGCAUGGAAUAACAGGGGUUCACACGUAACAGUGCUCCCAUGUUGGUUUGGUGGUGAAGUUCGUAUAAUUUCUUGUGCUUUCCCGUAGUUGGAUUCUUGGGGGAUCCGUUUGGUGAACCCAUGAUUCAUCUGCGUUUGGGCGCACAAGAGCGGGAUCAAUGGGACAAUCGGGGAAGACGUAUUACUGCGUCAGAGGUGAAAUUCUUAGACCGCAGUAAGACGGCCUACAGCGCAGGCAUCUUCCAA
This 488-nucleotide ribosomal RNA is filed under the name uncultured eukaryote. Its description in RNAcentral is "bacterial SSU rRNA". It matches the Rfam family "Eukaryotic small subunit ribosomal RNA", at positions 592 to 961 of the family's 1831-position model. The record is from RNAcentral.